RNAcentral lists this ribosomal RNA (457 nucleotides) under uncultured bacterium. RNAcentral describes it as "bacterial SSU rRNA". It matches the Rfam family "Bacterial small subunit ribosomal RNA", at positions 340 to 786 of the family's 1533-position model. The record is from RNAcentral.
UACGGGAAGGCAGCAGUGGGGAAUAUUGCACAAUGGGCGAAAGCCUGAUGCAGCUAUGCCGCGUGUAUGAAGAAGGCCUUAGGGUUGUAAAGUACUUUCAUCGGGGAGGAAAAAACAAAACUAAUAAUUUUAUUUCUUGACGUUACCCGAAAAAGAAGCACCGGCUAACUCCGUGCCAGCAGCCGCGGUAAUACGGAGGGUGCUAGCGUUAAUCAGAAUUACUGGGCGUAAAGAGCACGUAGGCGGUUUUUUUAAGUCAGAUGUGAAAUCCCUGGGCUUAACCUAGGAACUGCAUUUUGAAACUGAAAUACUAGAGUAUCGUAGAGGGAGGUAGAAUUCUAGGUGUAGCGGUGAAAUGCGUAGAUAUCUGGAGGAAUACCUGUGGCGAAAGCGGCCUCCUAAACGAAUACUGACACUGAGGUGCGAAAGCGUGGGGAGCAAACAGGGAUUAGAUACC